Molecule: ribosomal RNA, 207 nt
Filed under: uncultured bacterium
Lineage: Bacteria
Description: partial 16S ribosomal RNA
Rfam family: Bacterial small subunit ribosomal RNA
Source: RNAcentral
CGCGUAGGCGGACAUUUAAGUCAGGGGUGAAAUCCCGGGGCUCAACCCCGGAACUGCCCUUGAUACUGGGUGUCUUGAGUUCGAGAGAGGUGAGUGGAAUUCCGAGUGUAGAGGUGAAAUUCGUAGAUAUUCGGAGGAACACCAGUGGCGAAGGCGGCUCGCUGGCUCGAUACUGACGCUGAGGUGCGAAAGUGUGGGGAGCAAACA